GACGAACGCUGGCGGCGUGCUUAACACAUGCAAGUCGAACGAAGUGGCGAACGGGUGAGUAAUACGUGGGUAACCUGCCCUCCUUUUUGGGAUAAGCCUUGGAAACGGGGUCUAAUACCGAAUAAAGGGGGAUGGGCUCGCGGCCUAUCAGCUUGUUGGUGGGGUGAUGGCCUACCAAGGGGGUGACGGGGAGCCGGCCGGAGAGGGUGACCGGCCACAUUGGGACUAAGAUACGGCCCAGACUCCUACGGGAGGCAGCAGUAGGGGAUAUUGCGCAAUCGGGGAAACCCUGACGCAGCAACGCCGCGUGGAGGAUGACACUUUUCGGAGCGUAAACUCCUUUUGCGGUAUCUAACCAGAAAGCCACGGCUAACUACGUGCCAGCCGCCGCGGUAAUUC
Molecule: ribosomal RNA, 399 nt
Filed under: uncultured bacterium
Lineage: Bacteria
Description: partial 16S ribosomal RNA
Rfam family: Bacterial small subunit ribosomal RNA
Source: RNAcentral